GACGAACGCUGGCGGCGUGCUUAACACAUGCAAGUCGAACGGAAAGGGCCUGCUUUUGUGGGGUGCUCGAGUGGCGAACGGGUGAGUAACACGUGAGUAACCUGCCUUUGACUUUGGGAUAACUUCAGGAAACUGGGGCUAAUACCGGAUAGGAGCUCCUGCUGCAUGGUGGGGGUUGGAAAGUUUCGGCGGUUGGGGAUGGACUCGCGGCUUAUCAGCUUGUUGGUGGGGUAGUGGCUUACCAAGGCUUUGACGGGUAGCCGGCCUGAGAGGGUGACCGGCCACAUUGGGACUGAGAUACGGCCCAGACUCCUACGGGAGGCAGCAGUGGGGAAUAUUGCACAAUGGGCGGAAGCCUGAUGCAGCAACGCCGCGUGCGGGAUGACGGCCUUCGGGUUGUAAACCGCUUUCGCCUGUGACGAAGCGUGAGUGACGGUAAUGGGUAAAGAAGCACCGGCUAACUACGUG
RNAcentral lists this ribosomal RNA (468 nucleotides) under uncultured bacterium. RNAcentral's name for it is "partial 16S ribosomal RNA". It matches the Rfam family "Bacterial small subunit ribosomal RNA", at positions 28 to 507 of the family's 1533-position model. The record is from RNAcentral.